CUGCUGCCUCCCGUAGGAGUUUGGGCCGUGUCUCAGUCCCAAUGUGGCCGGCCACCCUCUCAGGUCGGCUACUAAUCGUCGCCUUGGUGGGCCUCUCCCCCGCCAACUAGCUAAUCAGACGCGGGCCCAUCCCAUACCACCGGAGUUUUUCACACCAGGCCAUGCGGCCCUUGUGCGCUUAUGCGGUUUUAGCAGCCGUUUCCGGCUGUUAUCCCCCUGUAUGGGGCAGGUUGCCCACGCGUUACUCACCCGUCCGCCACUCAGU
RNAcentral lists this ribosomal RNA (265 nucleotides) under uncultured bacterium. RNAcentral describes it as "partial 16S ribosomal RNA". The record is from RNAcentral.